GACGAACGCUGGCGGCGUGCUUAACACAUGCAAGUCGAACGGAAAGGCUCUGCUUUUGUGGGGUGCUCGAGUGGCGAAAGGGUGAGUAACACGAGAGUAACCUGCCCUUGACGUUGGGAUAACUUAAGGAGACUGGGGAUAAUACCGGAUAGGAGCUCCUGCCGCAUGAUGGGGGUUGGAAAGUUGCGGCGGUGGGAGAUGUAGUCGCGGCUUAUCAGCUUGAUGGUGGGGUAGUGGCUUACCAAGGCAGUGGCGGAUAGGCGACCUUAGAGGGUGACCGGCGACAAUGGGACUGAGAGACGGCGCAGAAUCCAACGGGAGGCAGAAGUGGGGAAUAUUACGGAAUGAGGGGGAGCGUGAUGCGGCGGCGCCGCGAGCGGAAUAACGGGCUGCGAGUGGUGAAACGCUUUCGCCUGUAACGUAGCGGGAGUGACGGUAAUGAGUAAGAAAGCACCGGCUAACUACGUG
RNAcentral lists this ribosomal RNA (468 nucleotides) under uncultured bacterium. RNAcentral describes it as "partial 16S ribosomal RNA". It matches the Rfam family "Bacterial small subunit ribosomal RNA", at positions 28 to 507 of the family's 1533-position model. The record is from RNAcentral.